GAUGAAGAACGCAGCGAAAUGCGAUACGUAAUGUGAAUUGCAGAUUUUAGUGAAUCAUCGAAUCUUUGAACGCACAUUGCGCCCGCCAGUAUUCUGGCGGGCAUGCCUGUUCGAGCGUCAUUUCAACCAUCAAGCCUUCGCUUGUGUUGGGGCCCCGCGGCUGCCGCGGCCCCCUAAAUCCAGUGGCGGGCUCGUCGUCGUACCGAGCGCAGUAGACAUCCUCGCUCCGGGAACCCGACGGGUGCCGGCCGUGAAACCCCCCCCAUCAAGGUUGACCUAGGAUCAGGUAGGAAUACCCGCUGAACUUAAGCAUAUCAAUAAGCGGAGGA
This 329-nucleotide unclassified non-coding RNA is filed under the name soil metagenome. RNAcentral's name for it is "partial contains 5.8S ribosomal RNA, internal transcribed spacer 2, and large subunit ribosomal RNA". The stretch from base 1 to 120 matches the Rfam family "5.8S ribosomal RNA", at positions 35 to 154 of the family's 154-position model. The record is from RNAcentral.